UUCCAGACUCCUACGGGAGGCAGCAGUGAGGAAUAUUGGUCAAUGGACGCAAGUCUGAACCAGCCAAGUAGCGUGCAGGAUGACGGCCCUCCGGGUUGUAAACUGCUUUUAGUUGGGAAUAAAAGGGGGCUCGUGAGCCCCGUAUUGUAUGUACCAUCAGAAAAAGGACCGGCUAAUUCCGUGCCAGCAGCCGCGGUAAUACGGAGGAUGCGAGCGUUAUCCGGAUUUAUUGGGUUUAAAGGGUGCGCAGGCGGCACGGCAAGCCGGCGGUCAAAUCGCGGGGCUCAACCCCGCCCAGCCGUCGGAACUGCCGGGCUAGAGUGGGCGAGAAGUGCGCGGAAUGCGUGGUGUAGCGGUGAAAUGCAUAGAUAUCACGCAGAACUCCGAUUGCGAAGGCAGCGCACCGGCGCCCUACUGACGCUCAGGCACGAAAGCGUGGGUAUCGAACAGGAUUAGAUACCCUCGUAC
This 468-nucleotide ribosomal RNA is filed under the name uncultured bacterium. RNAcentral's name for it is "bacterial SSU rRNA". It matches the Rfam family "Bacterial small subunit ribosomal RNA", at positions 329 to 793 of the family's 1533-position model. The record is from RNAcentral.